This 496-nucleotide ribosomal RNA is filed under the name uncultured bacterium. Its description in RNAcentral is "partial 16S ribosomal RNA". It matches the Rfam family "Bacterial small subunit ribosomal RNA", at positions 29 to 507 of the family's 1533-position model. The record is from RNAcentral.
AUGAACGCUGGCGGCGUGCCUAAUACAUGCACGUUGCGCGCACGGACGAGAAGCUUGCUUCUCUGAUGUUAGCGGCGGACGGGUGAGUAACACGUGGAUAACCUACCUAUAAGACUGGGAUAACUUCGGGAAACCGGAGCUAAUACCGGAUAAUAUUUUGAACCGCAUGGUUCAAAAGUGAAAGACGGUCUUGCUGUCACUUAUAGAUGGAUCCGCGCUGCAUUAGCUAGUUGGUAAGGUAACGGCUUACCAAGGCAACGAUGCAUAGCCGACCUGAGAGGGUGAUCGGCCACACUGGAACUGAGACACGGUCCAGACUCCUACGGGAGGCAGCAGUAGGGAAUCUUCCGCAAUGGGCGAAAGCCUGACGGAGCAACGCCGCGUGAGUGAUGAAGGUCUUCGGAUCGUAAAACUCUGUUAUUAGGGAAGAACAUAUGUGUAAGUAACUGUGCACAUCUUGACGGUACCUAAUCAGAAAGCCACGGCUAACUACGUG